GUACACUCCUACGGGAGGCAGCAGUGGGGAAUAUUGCACAAUGGGCGCAAGCCUGAUGCAGCCAUGCCGCGUGUAUGAAGAAGGCCUUCGGGUUGUAAAGUACUUUCAGCGGGGAGGAAGGCGAUAAGGUUAAUAACCUUGUCGAUUGACGUUACCCGCAGAAGAAGCACCGGCUAACUCCGUGCCAGCAGCCGCGGUAAUACGGAGGGUGCAAGCGUUAAUCGGAAUUACUGGGCGUAAAGCGCACGCAGGCGGUCUGUCAAGUCGGAUGUGAAAUCCCCGGGCUCAACCUGGGAACUGCAUUCGAAACUGGCAGGCUAGAGUCUUGUAGAGGGGGGUAGAAUUCCAGGUGUAGCGGUGAAAUGCGUAGAGAUCUGGAGGAAUACCGGUGGCGAAGGCGGCCCCCUGGACAAAGACUGACGCUCAGGUGCGAAAGCGUGGGGAGCAAACAGGAUUAGAUACCCUUGUAGUCCCA
RNAcentral lists this ribosomal RNA (475 nucleotides) under uncultured organism. RNAcentral's name for it is "partial 16S ribosomal RNA". It matches the Rfam family "Bacterial small subunit ribosomal RNA", at positions 331 to 797 of the family's 1533-position model. The record is from RNAcentral.